GCCAGUGACCACAAUUUAACGGCCGCGGUACCCUAACCGUGCGAAGGUAGCAUAAUCACUUGUUUCCUAAAUAGAGACUAGUAUCAACGGCAUCACGAAGACUACACUGUCUCCCCCCUAAAAUCAAUGAAACUAAUCUCCUCGUGAAGAAGCGAGGAUGAACAUAUAAGACGAGAAGACCCCAUGGAGCUUUAAACAAACUUCAAUUGCUUUCCCCCCCCCCCC
This 225-nucleotide ribosomal RNA is filed under the name Leptopelis rufus (red treefrog). RNAcentral's name for it is "partial large subunit ribosomal RNA". It matches the Rfam family "Bacterial large subunit ribosomal RNA", at positions 1904 to 2135 of the family's 2925-position model. Lineage: Eukaryota; Metazoa; Chordata; Amphibia; Anura; Arthroleptidae. The record is from RNAcentral.